UACAGAGGUCUCAAGCGUUGUUCGGAUUCAUUGGGCGUAAAGGGUGUGUAGGUGGCGCCGUAAGUCGGGUGUGAAAUUUCGGAGCUUAACUCCGAAACUGCAUCCGAUACUGCGGUGCUUGAGGACUGGAGAGGAGACUGGAAUUCAUGGUGUAGCAGUGAAAUGCGUAGAGAUCAUGAGGAAGACCAGUGGCGAAGGCGGGUCUCUGGGCCGAUACUGACGCUGAGGAGCGAAAGCGUGGGGAGCGAACAGG
Molecule: ribosomal RNA, 253 nt
Filed under: uncultured bacterium
Lineage: Bacteria
Description: partial 16S ribosomal RNA
Rfam family: Bacterial small subunit ribosomal RNA
Source: RNAcentral